This 462-nucleotide ribosomal RNA is filed under the name uncultured bacterium. Its description in RNAcentral is "bacterial SSU rRNA". It matches the Rfam family "Bacterial small subunit ribosomal RNA", at positions 337 to 796 of the family's 1533-position model. The record is from RNAcentral.
UCCUACGGGAGGCAGCAGUGAGGAAUAUUGGUCAAUGGGCGCGAGCCUGAACCAGCCAAGUAGCGUGCAGGAUGACUGCCCUAUGGGUUGUAAACUGCUUUUAUGCGGGGAUAAAGUGACGUACGUGUACGUUAUUGUAGGUACCGCAUGAAUAAGGACCGGCUAAUUCCGUGCCAGCAGCCGCGGUAAUACGGAAGGUCCGGGCGUUAUCCGGAUUUAUUGGGUUUAAAGGGAGCGCAGGCCGUCUGUUAAGCGUGCCGUGAAAUGUACCGGCUCAACCGGUGAGUUGCGGCGCGAACUGGCGGACUUGAGUGCGUACGAGGAAGGCGGAAUUCGUGGCGUAGCGGUGAAAUGCUUAGAUAUCACGAAGAACCCCGAUUGCGAAGGCAGCCUUCCAGUCCGUAACUGACGCUAAUGCUCGAAGGUGCGGGUAUCGAACAGGAUUAGAUACCCUGGUAGUCC